This 454-nucleotide ribosomal RNA is filed under the name Nitrospirota bacterium. RNAcentral describes it as "bacterial SSU rRNA". It matches the Rfam family "Bacterial small subunit ribosomal RNA", at positions 1 to 453 of the family's 1533-position model. Lineage: Bacteria; Pseudomonadati; Nitrospirota. The record is from RNAcentral.
UAAACUGAGAGUUUGAUCCUGGCUCAGAGCGAACGCUGGCGGCGUGCCUAACACAUGCAAGUCGAACGGUGUAUGUGUAGCAAUACGCAUACAUAGUGGCGCACGGGUGAGUAACGCGUAGGUGAUCUGCCCUUCGGUUUGGGACAACCGCUGGAAACGGCGGCUAAUACUGGAUAAGACCACGAGCAGGUAAUGCUUGCGGUAAAAGGAGUAAUUCGCCGAAGGAUGAGCCUGCGUCCUAUCAGGUUGUUGGUGGGGUAACGGCCUACCAAGCCUAAGACGGGUAGCCGGUCUGAGAGGAUGAACGGCCACACUGGGACUGAGACACGGCCCAGACUCCUACGGGAGGCAGCAGUGAGGAAUUUUGCGCAAUGGGGGAAACCCUGACGCAGCGACGCCGCGUGCGGGAAGAAGGCCCUCGGGUCGUAAACCGCUUUUGUGGGGGAAGAUGAUG